This 433-nucleotide ribosomal RNA is filed under the name uncultured bacterium. RNAcentral's name for it is "partial 16S ribosomal RNA". It matches the Rfam family "Bacterial small subunit ribosomal RNA", at positions 29 to 507 of the family's 1533-position model. The record is from RNAcentral.
AACGAACGCUGGCGGCAUGCCUAACACAUGCAAGUCGAACGAGACCUUCGGGUCUAGUGGCGCACGUGUGCGUAACGCGUGGGAACCUGCCCUUAGGUUCGGAAUCACUCCCCUAAAGGGGUGCUCAUACCGGUUAAUGUCUUCGGACCAAAGAUUUAUCGCCUUUGGAUGGGCCCUCGUUGGAUUCGCUAGUUGGUAGUGUAAAAGCCUGCCAAGGCGUCGAUCCAUAGCUGGUCUGAGAGGAUGAUCAUCCACACUGGGAAUGAGACACGGCCCAGACUCCUACGGGAGGCAGCAGUGGGGAAUAUUGGACAAUGGGCGAAAGCCUGAUCCAGCAAUGCCGGGGGAGAGAUGAAGGCCGUAGGGUUGUAAAGCUCUUUGACACGGGAUGAUAAUGACAGUACCGGGAGAAUAAGCUCCGGCUAACUACGUG